CAUCAUUUCUAGUCCGUGACUGGUGUUGUCCUGCUCUGGCCCUGUGGAAGGCAGAAUAGCUUCUCUGGGGUGGUUCCGCCCCUUUUCAAAGCAUAUUGUUCAUCUGCAUGGUUCCUAGCCGCUGGUAGGAUUCUAUAUCUUUCCCCUGGGCCACAGCAAGAAGAACUGGACAUCUCUCCAUGAUAAAUCCAAGGUCAAAGUUUGGAACCAGUACAGUAUAAGUGGCUACAGCAGAACUGGAAAGAACUCUUGUGGGCCCCCGAAGUUACACUCAGGGCAUCCACUGGAAAUUUCUAUGGACUUUUUUUUUAAUGCUUCUAAAAGUAUAUAAUCUUUUUUUUUUCUUUUUUUGUAUGGGGGAUCAAACUCAGGACCUUGUGCUUGCAAGGCAGGAGGUAGCACCACCGAGCUAAACUCCCGGUCCUAAAAGUACAUAAUCUUAUAAAUACUACGCACAAUACUUGUACCUGUACUUCACUCUAUACAGAAUAACUCUGAAGUUGCUAUGCUUUUAUGCAGUGAGAAUUGUUUUGUUUUAUUAGUUUUUUUGUUGCUGCACUUAAAAAUUUAUUGUAGACAGGCAAAUUCAGGUAGUGUCUAAAUAUAAUCAGCCACAUUAUUUUGACAUAUACAUUAGGGGCGAUGCAACCCUCUUACAUAUAAGAAGCUUCAAUCAAGACAAAAAUUUGUAAGUCAUAAAAACAUCCAAAAGACAGAGUUGAGUGUGGCUUAGAAGAGGAAGAGAAAGAUAGCUUCGAAAGAGGAGCAAAAAGAGAAAUCCCCUGGGGAAAUUACUUCAACAGCUACACAGGGAGAGGUUGUGAAAGCAGACAGCUCCAUGCUGGGAAAAGCUACUGGGGUUUGUUCAUCUUUGAUACAUCGAAAGCCGUAUCCCCCACCCCAAGAAGAUUGAUACUGGAAGUAACGCAGAUGAAAAAUUAGAGGUUCAGCUUUUAAAGCACUGGGAGAGAGAGGAAAAGGAUUAUGACUGAGACGAAUUAAAGACAGAAAAUAAAGCUGAGUGCAAUAGCACCUGACUGUAGUCCCAGCUACUCAGAAGGCUGAGGCAGGUGGACCUCUUUGAUCCCAGGGAUUUGAGGUCACCUUGGGCAACAUAACAAGAGCCAAAAAAUAAGAUAGAAAAUAUAUUUACAUUUUGGUACUUGAAUGCUUUUAUAUUUGCUGUAUUUAUUUACUGUGGCCACA
Molecule: long non-coding RNA, 1206 nt
Filed under: Fukomys damarensis (Damara mole-rat)
Lineage: Eukaryota; Metazoa; Chordata; Mammalia; Rodentia; Bathyergidae
Description: lncRNA (ENSFDAG00000023064.1)
Source: RNAcentral